ACUGCUGCCUGGUGAAUGCAGUAA
This 24-nucleotide small nuclear RNA is filed under the name Arabidopsis thaliana (thale cress). RNAcentral describes it as "snRNA_11662". The record is from RNAcentral. Lineage: Eukaryota; Viridiplantae; Streptophyta; Magnoliopsida; Brassicales; Brassicaceae.